RNAcentral lists this ribosomal RNA (50 nucleotides) under Penicillium citrinum. RNAcentral describes it as "partial 28S ribosomal RNA". The record is from RNAcentral. Lineage: Eukaryota; Fungi; Ascomycota; Eurotiomycetes; Eurotiales; Aspergillaceae. RNAcentral also lists the same sequence under 3 other names.
GGUUGACCUCGGAUCAGGUAGGGAUACCCGCUGAACUUAAGCAUAUCAAA